Long non-coding RNA from Bradysia coprophila, 398 nucleotides. Lineage: Eukaryota; Metazoa; Arthropoda; Insecta; Diptera; Sciaridae. The record is from RefSeq and is a predicted model, not a curated record.
CGUAUACAGAGAAAACAACCCCCAAAAACGGACAAUUUUAGAGAACAUCGCCAUCAAGAAAUCCAACGGUAGCAACUUAAACAAGCAAAUCGAAAGUCAAUUUUUACCCGUAGCGUACACCAACAUCAUCUAAAAACAAAAAGUAUGAGACGAAAAAAGCACGCCGCAUUGUAACUCUCCUUACCAAAUAUGACUAUGGUGAACUUCGGUGACCUAUAGUUUGUGACGGACAUUGACAUUGUGAUGUAAAGAAGAAUGAAACGGCUGUGAUAAAGAGUCCGAUAUUCGUUUUGACGAAAAUUCGUUUUAGAAUUUAAUAGUUUUAGUUUUAAGCCAUUGAAAAUGCCAGCGAUACGCGGGCGAAAUAUUUGGUGAAAAUACACACGAAAAAACACUGA